GCCCUUUUCUUUUAACUCAGCGGUAGAGUAAUGACAUGGUAAGGCGUAAGCCCUCGGUUCAAAUCCGAUAAGGGGCU
This 77-nucleotide transfer RNA is filed under the name Lactuca paradoxa. RNAcentral describes it as "tRNA-Thr". The record is from RNAcentral. Lineage: Eukaryota; Viridiplantae; Streptophyta; Magnoliopsida; Asterales; Asteraceae.